Molecule: long non-coding RNA, 4950 nt
Organism: Panicum virgatum (switchgrass)
Lineage: Eukaryota; Viridiplantae; Streptophyta; Magnoliopsida; Poales; Poaceae
Exons: 6
Source: RefSeq, a predicted model, not a curated record
CCCCGCCGCCGCAGCCAAGAUCCAGCACCCCCGCCUGCAGAUCUAGCCCCUGCGCAAUUGAAUCGAGCACCUGCGCACCUCGGCGGUCAUGGACGACUACAACGCCGGCGGGUACGGCGAGGGGGACGACUACGACGCUGAAGGCUACGGCAACGACGACCUUUUCGGCGCCGGCGUUGGAACCAGGGACUUCCUGUCCAUGGGGUCGGAGUCCUCAGCACAAGGUGGGUACGACGGCUUCACGGCCGGCACGUACUCCAACACCGGAUCUAGCAGCCUACGCCCGAGCCGCCUCGACUUCGACGGUCUCGACCUCAACUCCGAGCACGGGUGGUCGGAGGUGCAAGACCUCCUCCGAGGCGAUGAAGUCCAAGGAAGUGACCUGCCUCCUCCUAUUCGCGUUCCUCCACGGGGCCAGAACCGAACCCUCGGCCUGCGCGGGCCACGCAGUGGUCGAGGAGGAGGCCGAACCACGGCCGCCGGUGGCCGCAGAUCUGGCAUCGGUGGAGGCACUGCACCUGCGUCUGCACAAGGUGGCCGGUCUGCACCCUUUGGGCGCGCAGACCUGGCUGCAAGGUGUCCUCCGGCUGGACCUGAAACGGCGGCAGCCGACCAAGCCACCAUAGGCGGUGCCCGUCGUCGUCGUCGUGCCGUACAGGUAAGUUCCCCCUUGUCUUCAGAAUGUCGGUUCUGUUCUAGAUCUUCAUGGUGUAUCAUUAGUCCGGAUUGUUGACUGCAUUACCUUGUGCGUCACUUCGUACAUUCCGUGCUCAUGUUACGCUUCGUUUAGGCCGACACCAACAGGGCAGUCUGGACUCCAAAACAUACCCUUGUCUUUUGCCGUAUUUACUGCAGCCAAAUCGAUAAGGGAAACUGCGUGAAGGGUGUGAUGAACAAGUCUGGGUGGAAAGAGAUCAAAUCCAGAUUCUAUGCAGCCACUGGCUUUAUGCAUUAUAGAGAGCAGUUUGGGAACAAAUUUAGGCAGCUCAAGGGUUUGUGGCAGUUCAUACAGCAACUGCGGACUGAUUCAGGGCUUGGCCGUCGACCAGAUGGUUCUGUUGUUGCUAUGGAAGCUUGGUGGAAAUCUAACACAAUGGGGCAUCCUGAGUGGAAAAACUGCAGACCGGUUGGCAUAUUUAUCUAGAUGAAUUGGACCGCAUGUUCAUGGGUGUUGCAGUUGAUGGUUCCACUUCCUAUAUUCCUGGAGAUGAGAACCCCCUGGACGAAAUCCCAAGUGAUGAAGAAGAAGAUUCAGAAGAAGAUCAUGACCUGCAGACCCCCCACAGCAUUGGAAGCAAGAGGACCAGCAACAGCUCCCAAAGCCUACGCAGUACUGCAAGCAGCUCCAACAAGAAGAUGAAGAGCCCAGCAGUCAGAGCCAUGGUGUCCCAAAUGCAGCUGGCUGCACAACGACAUACAAACACAGGAAUGCAGCCAUGGAGGGCUUCAUCUCCCAAAGGCAAGAAGAGAAGCAGGCCGAGGAAUCAAAGAUGGAGAAACUUCUUGACAACGUCAUGGAUGCGGCCAGGGAUUGUGGUGUCACCGACAACAAUGCGCAGCUGUGGGUUGGUGUGCUGAAAAUUGCAAAGGACAAGGCUGCAGCUUACUUUUUCCCGCGCUCCCUCCCCCCUGGAAGGAAGGCUCUUAUUGAGCACUACUCUAGGGUCGUUGACUAGACCCUUCUAUCCUUGCAUUGCAGCUAAUAUUAGUUCAGUUAGUGCUGUUAGUGUGUUAACCAAUGUGUGGUCUGUCUGUGUUUUCAAGUACGUGGCGUAUGUGAGUUGACUUGAACAAGUAAUUUCCAUGACACUUGUCUAUUCCGUGAUAUUUAUGUGGAUGUUGUUUAUGUGGUCGGUUUUAUGUGCAUGGCGAGUAUUUUAAUGCUGUUUAUGUCGAUGUUAUUUAUGUGGACGAUGUGUUCUUUAUCCUGACAUUGCAGCACUUCAUGUGUUCUUUAUCUUUAUCUUGUAUACUGAUUAUUUGCCAAUGUUUCUUUAUUACAGGACGGGGUUCAUGCUUCAGACAUGGGAAAUGAAGCUGCUGAUUCUGAUGAGGAGUUUGACAACUUUAUGCUGACACAAUUCAUGGAUGAUUCUGCAGACAUGGGUUUCACUUACGGUCUUUGGUGCUGCAGGCAAGUACUAUCUGGUGGACUUGGGGUACCCAAACCGACCGGGUUACCUGGCUCCGUACAAGGGGAGCAAGUACCAUCUCCAAGAGUUUCAAAACGCCAACGAACCACAAGGUAAAGAGGAGAUAUUCAACUAUGCACAUUCGUCUCUUAGAAAUGUCAUAGAAAGAUCCUUUGGAGUGUUAAAACAAAAGUGGCGCAUACUGACCAAAAUACCCUGUUAUCCGACACAAACACAAACACAUAUUAUUGUUGCGUGCAUGGCUCUACAUAAUUUUAUCAGGCGGACUGGGUUAAGGGAUAAAGAUUUUAGGCGUUGUGAUCGUGAUGAGAACUAUGUGCCUGAUGAAGCAUAUGAAGAUCAGCCUGAAUGCGAGCCUGCCCCAAGUUAUUUGGAAUGUGCUCACAUGAAUGCGUUUCGUGAUUCAGUUGCGCUUGAUAUGUUGAUUCGAGGUUGAGCUGUGUUUAUGUAACGGGACUUUUAGUUUCUGUUGUAAUUUGUGAGGACUUGUAAUUUUUGAGAGUAUCUACUGUUCAGGUAGGCGUUUUGUCAUGUAUGUGUAUUUGUGUCUCGUUUCUGUUCAAGUUGAAGCUGCCCCUGGCGGUGUUUAGUUCAAGUUCAAGUUUGAACACACAGACACACAGUGGUCAGGGGCACCAGCAUGCGUCGCAUGCAGUGCCCGCAUGCAGCCAUGCAGCACUUAUGAUGAAGCAUUUAUUGACAUCGUACUGUAGACUAGAAUGCAAAAUGAGCCAUCCAACUAAACGCCUGUAAACACAAAAAGAUGUAAAGUUUUACAUCCAACUUUUGGCAUUUACAGGUUUUUGCAAAAUUUUGGAUCUAAACACACCCUUGGUUGAGAAUGCAUGUAUUGAGUAUUAAAUGAAGUUUAUUUGUGAAAUUUUUUAAUGGAUUGGUGUAAUUUUUCGAGACAAAUCUAAUGACAGUAAUGCAACAGUAACUAUCUUCUAAUCGUACGGUUAAUGGCCAUUGGUCUCGUGAAUUUACUAGGGGUUCUGUAGGUGAUUUUGUAGUUGAUUAUAUUUUAUUUAAUACUCUAAAUUAAUGGUUAAAGGUGUAAAAAGUUUUCGUGAAAUUUUUUUCAGUACAAAUCAAACACAGCCCAGAGUCGUUCGUCCUUCGCCGAUUGCUUGCUCUGCUGCCGAUCCUGAUUUGUGCGUGAUGAGUGAUGAUGCUUGAUUUCUGCUCACAAAUCCCUGUCCUCUGCUCGGUCGGAGACUUGAUAAUUCAGCGGCGGAUUUGGGGACACUCUGUUCCGCCUGUUGUGCAUGUGGAAAUGGAUGAGGAAUGGAGGUUCAGAAGGACAGGCCUGGAGUGGGCGAGAGUGGUUUUCCCAAAUGUGCCGGCCCGGGCAGGCAAACUCUCAACCGCUGAUCGAGCUACUGGAUUCGUGCACAAAGAUUCCCUGUCAUUAGUUGGUCCCAACUUUGGCAGGCGCCACAGCUUGUUUCUGCCCCGCCAUGGUUGGGUAGGCAAGUUUGUAUGAGUUGGACGAGGCACGUUUUUAGGCAAGAUUCCUUGGGACCACUUGCAGGCAUUGGAUUCGUAUUUGUUCUUUAUGGUGUGCUGAGAUGGGCUAGUUCUUCCUCCUCACGAGCUCUACAAUGGCCAACCCGUGCGGUUCCUAGAUCCGCUUUUUCCGGAAGUUGUAGAUCAGCUAAAAUGAAUGGGAGAGAGGACCAAGAUCAGGCUAGGAAGUGGCAGAGCAAUGCGGUUCAGCAUCAUCAUCCCAUUGCGAGUUCGAAACAAGCUUCAGGAACUCUAGAGGAACUGAAUCAUCAGAUUUUGGUGCAAGGCAGGUUGAAUCUGUGCCGGCUGGCGUUGCGAUGGAUCGAGAAGGCAAUGAUUCAUUUAAUCUAACAAUUUUAUCUUCUGAAAAUGAAGUUCAACCAUGGCCUAAGGGAAAGAAGCUACCUAAAGAUGCACCGGAUGGGUGCACACGAAGCUUAAUGGGUGCAAUUGAGAAGGCGCUACGGAAUGCAUCUAACAGAAAGGGUAGAUUUAUAUUCGAGCCCACACCUGGAAUGACAUUUGAUUGUGUGAGUGAAACACAAGAGUUCUACAACAUGUACUCUUGGGAGGUCGGCUUUGGAACAAAGAAAGGAGACAAAUAUGGCAAAACAAUGCAAGAAUUUCAAUGCCAGUGCCAUGGUUCAGACAAUAUAUUAGAGGAAACACCUGACAUGUGGGGGCCACGGCCAGUGAUUUCUGCCUGAGACGCGGGGCAACAAAUGGAGUCCGAGGCAAGCAGUGAGGCAUCCGCACGAAUCUCGAGAACAAGAUCCUAAGGCAGAGCAUGUGCCUUCCCGGGCCGGCACCGCCAGAAUACAUUCACCCGGAGUGGGCGGCUGGGCGCGGCCACCUGCAAAGCCAACGUCCCACGCGCAACGGCGUCGCUCUGGGCAUUUCGUCGAGCAGGCGGCGGCCGUUGGCGGUGAACGCGCGCGCGGGACGGGAGGUGCAACAGAGAGAGGAAGAGAGGAGGCGACGGUGCGACCGGCUUUCUGCUUACACACCACUGGCUGGGUGUCCAGUCCGUCGGCGGCGUCGGAAGGGAAUGGGGCCACGUCCCACGGACAUCUGAAACGAGACGUUAAUUUGAAAAAAACAUGGUCGAAAAUACAGGUUAUUAUGUCAAAAUUUGAAUUGUAUAGAAUAAUAGAACAACCACGAUCCGUGGUAGAAGUUUUAUGCAAAUAUUUCGAUCACGGACGAUAAUCGCAAUCUGAAAUGUGAUAGCUUAUGUAAAUAUUUGGAUCGUGGUGAAUAAAGCAGAUCUUAUGUAAACUUUGGAUCA